RNAcentral lists this long non-coding RNA (2971 nucleotides) under Gallus gallus (chicken). Its description in RNAcentral is "lncRNA (ENSGALG00010003758.1)". Lineage: Eukaryota; Metazoa; Chordata; Aves; Galliformes; Phasianidae. The record is from RNAcentral.
GGGGGGUGGGGGGGCUGUAGGGCCGGUGGUGGCCGGGUUGGCCAAUGGGGGGCGGUGGGGGUGAGGCUGCGGGGUGCUCUGGUGGCCGUAAAGGCCAAUGGAUGGCCAACAGUUAAGCAGUGGUUGAGCAAAGGUUGAGCAGUGGUUACCCAUGAGGCAGCAGUGUGCCCUGGUGGCCUAAAAGAGCAAUGGUUGACCAGUAGUUGACCAGCAGCUCAUCUGUAGUUGACCAAUGGUUGCCCAUGUGGCAGCAGUGUGCCCUGGUGGCCAAGAAGACCAGUAGUUGACUAAUAGUGGAACAGUGGUUGACCAACAGUGGCCCAUGAGGCAGCCGUGUGCCUUGGUGGCCAAAAAGAGCAAUGGUUGCCCAGUAGUUGACCAGCAGCUGACCAGUAGUUGACCACAGGUUGCCCAUGAGGCUGCAGUGUGCCCUGGUGGCCAAAAAGACCCAUGGUUGACCAGUGGUUGACCAACAGUUCAUCUGUAGUUGACCAAUGGUUGCUCACGAGGCAGCAGUAUGGCCUGGUUGCCAAGAAGAGCAAUGGUUGACCAGUAGUUGACCAUCAGUUCAUCUGUAGUGGCCAAAAAGAUCCAUGGUUGACCAAUAGUUGACCAGCAGUUCAUCAGUAGUUGACCAAUAGUUGCCCAUUAUGCUGCUCUGUGCCCUGGUGGCCAUAAAGACCCAUAGUUGACCAGUGGUUGACCAGCAGUUCAUCAGUAGUUGACCAAUGGUUGCUCACGAGGCAGCAGUGUGCCCUGGUUGCCAAGAAGACCAGUAGUUGACUAAUAGUGGAACAGUGGUUGACCAACGGUGGCCCAUGAGGCUGCAGUGUGCCCUGGUGGCCAAAAAGACCCAUGGUUGACCAGUAGUUGACCAGCAGCUCAUCUGUAGUGGCCAAAAAGAUCCAUGGUUGACCAAUGGUCAACCAACAGUUCAUCUGUAGUUGACCAAUGGUUGCCCAUGAGGAGCAGUGUGCCCUGGUGGCCAAAAAGACCCAUAGUUGACCAGUGGUUGACCAGCAGUUCAUCAGUAGUUGACCAAUGGUUGCUCUUGAGGCAGCAGUGUGCCCUGGUGGCCAAAAAGACCCAUGGUUGACCAAUGGUUGACCAGCAGUUCAUCAGUAGUUGACCAAUGGUUGCCCAUGUGGCAGCAGUGUGCCCUGGUGGCCAAGAAGACCAGUAGUUGACUAAUAGUGGAACCGUGGUUGACCAACGGUGGCUCAUGAGGCAGCACUGUGCCCUGGUGGCCAAAAAGACCCAUGGUUGACCAGUAGUUGACCAACAGUUCAUCUGUAGUGGCCAAAAAGAUCCAUGGUUGACCAAUGGUCAACCAACAGUUCAUCUGUAGUUGACCAAUGGUUGCCCACGAGGCAUCAGUGUGCCCUGGUGGCCAAAAAGACCCAUGGUUGACCAGUAGUUGACCAGCAGUUCAUCAGUAGUUGACCAACAGUUGCUCACGAGGCAGCAGUGUGCCCUGGUGGCCUAAAAGAGCAAUGGUUGACCAGUGGUUGACCUACAGUUCAUCAGGAGUUGACCAAUGGUUGCCCAUGAGCCAGCAGUGUGCUCUGGUGGCCAUGAAGGCCAAUGGCUCCCUGGGCUGCACGGCACAGAGCGUGGGCUGCAGGGUGAGAACGCUUCUCCUCCCCUCUGCUCUGCGCUGGGGGGGCCACAGCUGCAGCGCUGGGCUCCCCAGCUCUGAGCCAUGCAGAUCCUGCUGGAAGAUGCCUUAAGGCCCACGCAUGAUGAGCUGCACGUGAUGAGCAGCAGAGGAAGCACUGAGCGUUGCAGCUCAUCCUGCAGCAGCAGAGGAGGCACUGAGCGUUGCAGCUCAUCCUGCAGCAGCAGAGGAGGCACUGAGCGUUGCAGCUCAUCCUGCAGCAGCAGAGGAGGCACUGAGCGUUGCAGCUCAUCCUGCAGCAGCAGAGGAGGCACUGAGCGUUGCAGCUCAUCCUGCAGCAGCAGAGGAAGCACUGAGCGUUGCAGCUCAUCCUGCAGCAGCAGAGGAGGCACUGAGCGUUGCAGCUCAUCCUGCAGCAGCAGAGGAGGCACUGAGGGUUGCAGCACCUCUUGGAGCCCUGCGGCCGACGCGCAGCGUGUUGACGAGCCGUCCCUUUUGGGGACGAGAGCCGGGAUGCUGCCCUUCCCCUUCUGGCCAGGAGAUGUCCUGCUCGGCCUGCACAGCGUUCCUGCUGCUGCUGGGAACCGCUGCCGGCUGUGCCAGCUUGGUUUCCAUAGCUGUUGGCCCAGAUGCUCCCCGGGUGCGAUGCUUCCCCUCUGCUCCAGCCAGACCCCCCCCACGGUUAUGAGCCCUGCAUGCGUUGAGCAUCAGCCCCACGUUACUCCCAGCCCAGCGCCAACGGCGGGGCUGCCCUGAGUCAGCCAGCAAGCAGCUUUGGAGUAAUAAAUCCUUCCCAACCUGCGUUGUUUGACUCUCCGAGCAUCUCCUAACUCAUCUUCUCUCCUUUGCUUUCAGAAGAUGCUCUGCUGGAAGCCGCGAGGAUCAACAACGUUUCGGAAGUCAACAGGUGAGCAGAGCCCUGGAGGCGCCUGAGAGAGCUUUUUGGUGGCCUGGAAGCUCGCACGGGAUGGGGGCAGAGGCUCCCCUCCGCUGUGCCCCCCACACUGCUGCAGGGAGGAGGAGGAGAUCCCCACGGCCAGAGCUGCUCCUUGCAGCCGUGGGCGGUGCUCGGAGGAAGCAGCGUGGCUCCGUGCAGCCCAGGGCUGAGCUCUGGCCUGGAUCAAGGGCUGAACAGGGGAUAUUGGCGUGCAGCUAAUUGGCACGCGGGUUCUGCUGCUCGUAAUUGCAGGAAGCUGCUGCUCAACGACGUCUGGGUGAUGGGUGAGCCUGCCCGGGCAGAGCAGCAGCAGGGAUGCUCCGUGCCCCCCAUGCUCAGGGUGGGGAGCGCAGUGCGUGUGUUCCAGCUGGGAAGCAGCUGCCAGGACCUGGUUUUUUCCAUGCUGCACAGACUGG